Chelonia mydas (Green sea turtle) is the source of this 2399-nucleotide long non-coding RNA. RefSeq lists it as uncharacterized. The record is from RefSeq and is a predicted model, not a curated record. The transcript is spliced from 3 exons. Lineage: Eukaryota; Metazoa; Chordata; Testudines; Cheloniidae.
GCGAGGCAGGAAGUACAGUACAACAUGGAAAGCUCUUCAAACAGCGAGGCCUGGGAAAGACCCUGACUAGAGCAGGGAAGGGACAGGGGGAGCUGAAGAAGCUGGGUAGAAAGUGGCCCAGGGGAAACUUUAGCACAAGUAACGUUGCUGACCUAGUUGUUCAGUACAGUGUCCUGGGCUGGAACCUGGACUAGAGGUUGGGACUGAGUUCCCUACUAGCCCCAAGGAAGGGGGCCUACAAGCCCAUUACAAGGGUUAAUGAGCCUAGCGGGGGGCUGCAGGCUAAGUCCUGAAGAUGGGCUAUUCCUCAACCUUAGAGAGGGCAGGAGGAUUUUGUUUGUGUUAAAGACAUUUUGGGACUCUUAGUUUGGACAGUUGUGGACCGCAGAAGGGGUGGACUUAAAAUGGUGACCUGGCCAGAGGGCUGAGUCAGUGGAAGAGAAGCCACCACAGUGCUGGAGGGCUUGUUGGCAGGGCAGUGCUAAAAAAGUGAGAGAUACUACACCAUGCACCUAGGGGGUGCCUAGCUAUCAGCUCUCUGUUGAUGGCAUCUCCUCAUUUGUGUUUUGACUGGUUACAAAGAAAGAUGACAAAUGUUGGACCUCUUUAUAACAUUGAUAGAAGAGACCUGCACCUGCCUACAGAAGGAAGGAUUUCACACUGCAGGGCUCUGAAUCCGACAACUUUCAUGAGCAUCCUGGGAUUUUUCCAAGGAGUCUAGGAGAACUAGGUGCCCAACUCCCAUUGUAUUUCAAUGGGAUUUGAGUGCUUAACUUCUUUGAAAAUACUAUCUUAAACAUACACACACAGUCUCCAGUUGUUGACAGAACUCAAAGACCAACUAUGGUGUGAGCAAAUGAACUAAAGAAAACAAGACAUCAAAUGCAUUUUCUUCCGUUAAGUCAGUGCAUUAGUUACCAGUUCUGCUCCACUGCCUGCAAAAAAAAAAAAAAAAAAAAAUUGCAACAGUUAAUGUGGGUCAUAGGAUGAGAGAGAGAGAGAGGUGAACCUAUUGGCACAUGGUGGGGAAGGGAAUUGGAUGCAAAAUAGGAAUGUGUUUGGACAAGAAAUGUUGCUGUACUGAGCCAAGGGAAAAGGCUCAAGAUCAAUCAGUCAGAAAACGAAAAGCUUUAAAGGCAGAAGAAAUGCUAAAGUUAGCAUGUGUGGUUUACUAUAAAUUGGGGUAAUCUGAAACAGAUAUUCUCUGAAGAAUACUUCCAAUGUUUCCUGGCUCUGCUCCAGUGACUUCAAAGCCCUGUUAUCAGUGAAUUGUGGUCCCAGUCUGAGGAAAUGUCAGCUUCAGAUCACAGUUUCCUCUCAUUUCUGUGAAAAGAGGUCAAAUUAGCAAAAGUGCUGCCCACACACUGCCUCUGUCACAGCCCUAACUGGCCUAUUUUGUUAAUGCUUCAGCUAAUCUUCAGGUUAAAGAACAAAUUUGCUUUGAAAGGGUAGGUUAUUUGAUUUAGGAAGCAGAGUUUAAAAUAAUAGCCCAGCUACACGUGUUGCCAAAAAUCCAUUUUGCUCUAAUGUUCAUUUUGGGGUGUGCAGAACAAUUCAGGGAAGCAUUUACUGCCCUUCUUCCACCUUAGUUUCCUUCCCACCCUUUGCAAUUUCCUAUUAGACUGAACAAAUCAGACCCUUUAUAAGAAGGUUCUGAUUAGUACUUCUAGAGCUUGAAAUACAGUUGGAAUGGCAAGGAGUACAAUUUCUGCUGUGUCAUCAUCUAAAGGCCCUUGCACAUGAAAUUUCUCUGAGAGCGAGCCUCUAUCCAUGGUUCAACUCUCUACUUGGCUCCCCUGUAGCUUGAAGGACAGAGCUAGUUUUGCUUGUGGUUUUCUCCCUCCCCUUAUUUUAUUUAGUGUCUACUGCACAAAUCUGAAAGUGCCACUUACAUUAAACUGAAAAUGCAUAGUCUGCCGAGACUCAGUCUUGGUAACUUCAGAAGUAGCCCUAAUGGUAAAGUCGUACAUAAACAACCGUGAGGCAUUAGAUGUUGCAAUCCAGUAUCUCUCAGCAUAGGGGAGAUCACUGUCAAAUUUGAGGCUUUAGCCCUGCUGGUUGAAUCCCACUAGAAGAUGCUCGAUCCAAAACAUACAAUGAAGUUACUUCAAGUUUUAAAAACCUUAUUUAGUGAUUUAAAAUUAAACCAGAGUAGCCUGGUAUUCGAUCAGUCCAGGUAAGGAUUUAAGCAAAACCUGUGUACUGACACUCUCUGCAACUCAGUCUGUAUUCUUCAGUCUGUGAGCUAGGGAGAGCUACAAUAUCUGUAUAUUUCCAGCAUCCUACACACAGAAUCCGCUUUGCAUUCACAGCUGAGGCCAGUCUUUCCUCUACUGUGGGAGACACUGCAAACCCUAUAGUUCUGUAUGGGUAAAGGGCAGGAAAUUGGCAGUGAUACU